GAUGAACGCUAGCUACAGGCUUAACACAUGCAAGUCGAGGGGCAGCACUAGGUAGCAAUACUGAGGUGGCGACCGGCGCACGGGUGCGUAACGCGUAUCCAACCUUCCCGUUACUCAGGGAUAGCCUUCCGAAAGGGAGAUUAAUACCUGAUGGUAUUCAAAUUCCGCAUGUUAUUUGAAUUAAAGAUUUAUCGGUAACGGAUGGGGAUGCGUGACAUUAGGUAGAUGGCGGGGUAACGGCCCACCAUGCCUACGAUGUCUAGGGGUUCUGAGAGGAAGGUCCCCCACACUGGAACUGAGACACGGUCCAGACUCCUACGGGAGGCAGCAGUGAGGAAUAUUGCACAAUGGGGGAAACCCUGAUGCAGCAACGCCGCGUGAGUGAAGAAGUAUUUCGGUAUGUAAAGCUCUAUCAGCAGGGAAGAAGAAAGACGGUACCUGACUAAGAAGCACCGGCUAAAUACGUGCCAGCAGCCGCGGU
Molecule: ribosomal RNA, 481 nt
Filed under: uncultured bacterium
Lineage: Bacteria
Description: bacterial SSU rRNA
Rfam family: Bacterial small subunit ribosomal RNA
Source: RNAcentral